This 74-nucleotide transfer RNA is filed under the name Streptomyces sp. PVA_94-07. The record is from RNAcentral. Lineage: Bacteria; Bacillati; Actinomycetota; Actinomycetes; Kitasatosporales; Streptomycetaceae.
AGCUGGUCGCAAGCUAACCGAAUGUUCGGUCGGGCAGCAAGGGGUGAUGGCCACAUGGGACGUGGCGAGGACGU